GAUGAACGCUAGCUACAGGCUUAACACGUGCAAGUCGAGGGGAAACGGCAUUGAGUGCUUGCACUCUUUGGACGUCGACCGGCGCACGGGUGAGUAACGCGUAUCCAACCUUCCCAUUACUGUGGGAUAACCUGCCGAAAGGCAGACUAAUACCGCAUAGUCUUCGAUGACGGCAUCAGAUUUGAAGUAAAGAUUUAUCGGUAAUGGAUGGGGAUGCGUCUGAUUAGCUUGUUGGCGGGGUAACGGCCCACCAAGGCUACGAUCAGUAGGGGUUCUGAGAGGAAGGUCCCCCACAUUGGAACUGAGACACGGUCCAAACUCCUACGGGAGGCAGCAGUGAGGAAUAUUGGUCAAUGGACGGAAGUCUGAACCAGCCAAGUAGCGUGCAGGAUGACGGCCCUAUGGGUUGUAAACUGCUUUUGUAUGGGGAUAAGGUUAGGGACGUGUCCCUAUUUGCAGGUACCAUACGAAUAAGGACCGGCUAAUUCCGUG
Molecule: ribosomal RNA, 492 nt
Filed under: uncultured bacterium
Lineage: Bacteria
Description: partial 16S ribosomal RNA
Rfam family: Bacterial small subunit ribosomal RNA
Source: RNAcentral